CUGCGCCCCAGAUGGAACGGCAUGUUUGAGCUCUUUUUAUUUUUCUGAUGGGAAAAGCGUGGUGAAAAUAAAAAAGCGAGUAGUGACAGCUGGAAUUUGG
RNAcentral lists this small RNA (100 nucleotides) under Epilithonimonas arachidiradicis. Its description in RNAcentral is "Chryseobacterium arachidiradicis Flavo-1 RNA". Lineage: Bacteria; Pseudomonadati; Bacteroidota; Flavobacteriia; Flavobacteriales; Weeksellaceae. The record is from RNAcentral.